UACGAAGGGUGCAAGCGUUACUCGGAAUUACUGGGCGUAAAGGGUGCGUAGGUGGUUUGUUAAGUCUGCUGUGAAAUCCCCGGGCUCAACCUGGGAAUGGCAGUGGAUACUGGCAAGCUAGAGUGCGGUAGAGGGUAGUGGAAUUCCCGGUGUAGCAGUGAAAUGCGUAGAUAUUGGGAAGAACACCGGUGGCGAAGGCGGCUCACUGGCUCAUUACUGACGCUCAGGCGCGAUAGCGUGGGGAUCAAACAGG
This 253-nucleotide ribosomal RNA is filed under the name uncultured bacterium. RNAcentral's name for it is "partial 16S ribosomal RNA". It matches the Rfam family "Bacterial small subunit ribosomal RNA", at positions 524 to 776 of the family's 1533-position model. The record is from RNAcentral.